Molecule: ribosomal RNA, 429 nt
Filed under: Pseudomonadota bacterium
Lineage: Bacteria; Pseudomonadati; Pseudomonadota
Description: Proteobacteria bacterium partial 16S ribosomal RNA
Rfam family: Bacterial small subunit ribosomal RNA
Source: RNAcentral
UGGGGAAUAUUGGACAAUGGGCGAAAGCCUGAUCCAGCCAUGCCGCGUGUGUGAAGAAGGUCUUCGGAUUGUAAAGCACUUUAAGUUGGGAGGAAGGGCAGUAAGCGAAUACCUUGCUGUUUUGACGUUACCGACAGAAUAAGCACCGGCUAACUCUGUGCCAGCAGCCGCGGUAAUACAGAGGGUGCAAGCGUUAAUCGGAAUUACUGGGCGUAAAGCGCGCGUAGGUGGUUCGUUAAGUUGAAUGUGAAAGCCCCGGGCUCAACCUGGGAACUGCAUCCAAAACUGGCGAGCUAGAGUAGGGCAGAGGGUGGUGGAUUUUCCUGUGUAGCGGUGAAAUGCGUAGUUAUAGGAAGGAACACCAGUGGCGAAGGCGACCACCUGGGCUCAUACUGACACUGAGGUGCGAAAGCGUGGGGAGCAAACAGG